CUUAAUAUUUAGCCUUUGAUAAAGAAGCUUGAACAGAAGAAAAAUCAUGAUUUUUUUUUUUUGGCCCUGUGUUAGCUUCUUGUUUUGUAGCUAGCAAGAUAUAUAUUAUCCAUAUAUCUGUGUCAGUUUUCUUUUACAUUCUCCACUUAGCCUAUAUUCUGAGAUAAAUAAUUGCUGGCAAGCUUUCAUGGGGCCAAAGAAUUGAAUUCUUAAAGGCAAAUAAACAAUUUUAAGAAUGAGAAUGACACAUGCAGAGGGAGAGAGGCCAACCAAGAAACAGACUUUUAACUAUAGAGAGCAAACUGAUAGUUACUAGAGAGGUGCAUGGGGGAAUGGGUUAAAUAGUUGAUGGGGAUUAAGGAGGGCACUUGCUAUGAUGGACACCAGGUGAUGUAUGUAAAUGUUAAAUCACUAUGUUGUACACCUGAAACUAAUAUAACACUGUAUGUUAACUUGAAUUAAAAUAAAGUGAAAACUUUAAAAAAUUAAAAAAAUAAAAUAAAAGAAUGACAUCGUAGGAAGGAAACUAAACAAAGUUGGGAACCCAGGUUCAAGUUCUAGGUUUGCAUGUAACUAUUUAUCCUUGAAUAUUUGCUUAGCCAAGAGCUCUUGCCUUUAGUAUUUAUUUCUCUCACGAGAUUUGAACUAGAAAACCUCUUAAGUUCAACAAAUAUAUGGCAUGACUUUUGGAACAAUAUUGAUUUCAAAAUCUCUUAUGACUUUAACAUCUGUAAAUAAAAAAUAUCUCAAAUGCUAAUAUUUCAGACUUUUCAGUCCUGGAAAUAUUGUAGAAAUCCUUUAUUAAAAUUAUGUGAUUUGGUCUUGAUUUGGAAAAUGGAGUCCUACCAUAUCUUUAUUCAUUUCCCAACUAGAAUUAUGUGAUUCUAGGAUAGAUACAGAACAACAUCCCAUUUCAUAUCCACUAUGCCACCUCCUUCUCAAGCCGUUCCUCUUCCAAAUUUUCAGCCACUUUAACAUUAAAAACUUUUCUACCUAAACUUAUACCUUCAGAACUAUAUAAUUUUAUCUUUUUCUAAAGUCAGUAUAAAUUAUUUUUAACUCAUAAUGGUAUUUGUUCAGAACAGUUGGAUUGAAUGCUUACUGUGUGUAAUAUGCAUAAUGGAACCUUAAGUACAAUACCGAUACUGGGAAAGAUAAAGAAUUCAAAUAGUAAUUUUUGUCAGAGAAAAUUUGGGAAAUUAUUUGUGGAGCUUAGUUAUAAUUUUCCAGGGGAUAUGCCUUUAUUUUCUCUGUGUUCCAGGUCUUUCCUGAAAUUUAGAAGCCCCUUUGUUCCCCUUCCUUUCUGAUGCUAUCAGUGGUGAUGAUCACCUUUGAGGAAGAAAAGCCCACUUCCACUGACCAUGGAGAAUACACAGCAUCUCUGCUUGAUUGUGACAAGGCAAGUCCCAGGCAAUGGAUAAAAUCAAAUCUGAAACAGUUGAUUCAUGUUGGUGAAAGCUACCAAAAGAAUGUGAGGAUGGUUUUAAAGAUUUCCUGGUAAUUGAUAAAGCAUGUUCAGGUGGCCAGGCAAGUUUGGAGAGCUUCUUUGACACUUACAAGGGUUAUUAAAGGUUGUUGAGAAGCUACAUUUAGGAGUUAGAGGAACUGACAAAAUCCUUUUCACAGAAUGACAUGGUGAGAACAAGUUGAAAUUUUUGUAAAUUUAUUAAGUGUUCAAAGGAGUGAAACACCUGAUUAAAUUUCUGAUGCUCUU
Molecule: long non-coding RNA, 1714 nt
Organism: Leopardus geoffroyi (Geoffroy's cat)
Lineage: Eukaryota; Metazoa; Chordata; Mammalia; Carnivora; Felidae
Exons: 2
Source: RefSeq, a predicted model, not a curated record